UACGUAGGGUGCGAGCGUUAAUCGGAAUUACUGGGCGUAAAGCGUGCGCAGGCGGUUAUAUAAGACAGGCGUGAAAUCCCCGGGCUCAACCUGGGAAUUGCGCUUGUGACUGCAAAGCUGGAGUACGGCAGAGGGGGAUGGAAUUCCGCGUGUAGCAGUGAAAUGCGUAGAUAUGCGGAGGAACACCAAUGGCGAAGGCAAUCCCCUGGGCCUGUACUGACGCUCAUGCACGAAAGCGUGGGGAGCAAACAGG
This 253-nucleotide ribosomal RNA is filed under the name uncultured bacterium. Its description in RNAcentral is "partial 16S ribosomal RNA". It matches the Rfam family "Bacterial small subunit ribosomal RNA", at positions 524 to 776 of the family's 1533-position model. The record is from RNAcentral.